CGGGGUGUAGCGCAGUUGGUAGCGUACUUGACUGGGGGUCAAGGGGUCGCAAGUUCAAGUCUUGUCACUCCGA
Molecule: transfer RNA, 73 nt
Filed under: Bacteroidetes bacterium CG2_30_33_31
Lineage: Bacteria; Pseudomonadati; Bacteroidota
Also listed under: 2 other names
Description: tRNA-Pro
Rfam family: tRNA
About the family: Transfer RNA (tRNA) molecules are approximately 80 nucleotides in length. Their secondary structure includes four short double-helical elements and three loops (D, anti-codon, and T loops).
Source: RNAcentral